RNAcentral lists this unclassified non-coding RNA (1678 nucleotides) under Zea mays. RNAcentral describes it as "misc RNA Zm00001eb218180". The record is from RNAcentral. Lineage: Eukaryota; Viridiplantae; Streptophyta; Magnoliopsida; Poales; Poaceae.
UUGGGAUAGAGAGAGUAUUUUAUUUUUGAUGCAUAAAAAAACCAUAUGCGCCAUCGUCCUAAUUACUAGGACAAUAACAGAGUUGAUCGGAGCGUGCAGCAACAGCCAAUCCGCACUCAACAUCACGUUGCGCCGGCGCAAGGCGUCAACCGGCACCGGCAGCACCAGCCACCUGCCGCCGCCGUCGUCCGUUGCGCAGCGAAAGAGAUGGAACCUGGAAGCAGCGGCAGCCAGAACUGAUGCAUGCGUGGCGCGACGCCGGCCGGCCUUCCUCCUCGCGUUGUCAGGUGUCACCCUGACCCGGCCGGCCCGGCGCCGAAGUACUGCGCGCCCAGCUCGUAUCUGUUGGAGGCGCCGCCGCCGCCGCCCUGCUCCGGAGCCGCCGGCGGCGCGGCGCCGUGCUGGUGCGCGCCAUCGUAGACGACGCGGAGGGCCGCGCUGGGGUCGCGCGGGUGCCACUCCACCUUCUUCUUGGCGCCGCACAGCCUGUGCCGGCACCGGAAGUAGCUCCUGCGCCAUUGGACCAUACACACAUGACACAUGCAUGGACCCACCCACACGCCACGCCCACCAUCAGUUCUGUGUGCAAUUUGCUCGCCCGGCCGGCCGGCAUUAUUUGCUGGUUGACCGUGAUUAAUAGAGCGAGGACUCUUCUUCGGUUGAUUCUUCUUCUCGUGACGAUAAGAUCAAGCAGCAGAGCAUUGCAUGCACGGUGGGUGAUCGAUGGGCGUCACAUCGACUCAAUUAAAACGAUUUGAUGCACAGGAUCGGAACGAACGAAUAAGAUGCGUGGACAGCUAUAUAUAUAGUCAAAGUUGCACUAACUACAUGGAAAUGGAUCGAAGGGAGAAAGUACCUGAUUUUCUGGAUGUUCUUGAUGAACUUCUGGCCGUACUUCUUCCACUCGUACCCGUCCUCGGGCACCACCAUCAGCUGGCUGCCGUUGCCGGCCUCUGCCUCCGCCGCCGCCGUCUCCUCGUCGUCGUCCUCCUCCCUCCUUUGGUUUCUCUCUUCUCCUCCGCUCACUCUGCAUGCAUCACUACAGUUGUGGCUAGAAACGUUAGCUACGCAUAAAUCGUCGUCGUCGAGAACCUAACCUAUCUGUUGGGUGCUUAAUUACUUUAUAAUCCGCUUCGUCUACAGUGAUGCAGAACUAGUAGUAUAUAGCAGCGUAAACUAGGCGGUUCAUACUUAGAUCUAUUUAUUUGCUCCAAGCAGCCAGGGAUGAUAUUUGAGACGUAUACAUAGGAAAGUGAGUCUAUAUAUAGUUCAUAUAUAGUAUUAGGCCACGCAUACAUAUAUCAUGAACUUGAACGACAUCUGUUUGUGGACGACAAUAUAUAUACAUCUCCAUGUUGCUGCAUGAGAAUUUGACAAAAAAAAAAAAAACAAUAAUAACGAACCAUGCUGCAUGAGAACCAAAGGUAUGAUAAGUUGUCAACCAAUAAUAAACCGAGUGUGGUCCCGUUUUAGGCAAACGCAUCAAAACAUCAUAGAAAGAAGAAUAAAACCAUUCUUUUGAUGAUUGCCAACGAACGAGAGAGAGAGAGAGAUGCAUACAUUGUGGCUGGCUGUGAGCUUGAAUCGUCCAUGGAUGCCGGCCGGUGACCGUACGUCGUCGUCUACGUCCUGCGCCCUAACGCUGCUCCCAUGUCAUCGCAAAGCUCAAGGAAUGAAA